RNAcentral lists this transfer RNA (91 nucleotides) under Cupriavidus sp. TKC. RNAcentral describes it as "tRNA-Lys". Lineage: Bacteria; Pseudomonadati; Pseudomonadota; Betaproteobacteria; Burkholderiales; Burkholderiaceae. The record is from RNAcentral.
GCGUCCCUGGAUCAGGCGAGCCAGCAUGCUCUUGCCAUCCGAGAAGACGCGUCGCGCCGAUUCGCCGACGAUCUCGUCGUUGAGGAUGUCC